This 45-nucleotide non-coding RNA is filed under the name Trichobilharzia regenti. Lineage: Eukaryota; Metazoa; Platyhelminthes; Trematoda; Strigeidida; Schistosomatidae. The record is from RNAcentral.
AUCUAGAUGACGAGUCUGAAAUAGGACCAAAUGCGCAUGCUGGAU